UACGUAGGUGGCGAGCGUUAUCCGGAAUGAUUGGGCGUAAAGGGAGCGCAGGCGGCGAGUUAAGUCAGCGGUAAAAUUUCGGGGCUCAACCCCGACAAGCCGUUGAAACUGGCUUGCUAGAGUGGGCGAGAAGUAUGCGGAAUGCGUGGUGUAGCGGUGAAAUGCAUAGAUAUCACGCAGAACUCCGAUUGCGAAGGCAGCAUACCGGCGCCCAACUGACGCUGAAGCACGAAAGCGUGGGUAUCGAACAGG
This 252-nucleotide ribosomal RNA is filed under the name uncultured Bacteroidales bacterium. Its description in RNAcentral is "partial 16S ribosomal RNA". It matches the Rfam family "Bacterial small subunit ribosomal RNA", at positions 524 to 776 of the family's 1533-position model. Lineage: Bacteria; Pseudomonadati; Bacteroidota; Bacteroidia; Bacteroidales. The record is from RNAcentral.